This 142-nucleotide ribosomal RNA is filed under the name Bacillus cereus. Its description in RNAcentral is "partial 23S ribosomal RNA". It matches the Rfam family "Bacterial large subunit ribosomal RNA", at positions 2794 to 2925 of the family's 2925-position model. Lineage: Bacteria; Bacillati; Bacillota; Bacilli; Caryophanales; Bacillaceae. The record is from RNAcentral.
CCCCCUCAAGAUGAGAUUUCCCAUAGCGUAAGCUAGUAAGAUCCCUGAAAGAUGAUCAGGUUGAUAGGUUCGAGGUGGAAGCAUGGUGACAUGUGGAGCUGACGAAUACUAAUAGAUCGAGGACUUAACCAUAUAAUAUGUA